UGCAGCAUUGUAGGGAGAAUUAAAAAUUAUGCAUCUCAUCACAACCAGUUACAGAUUUCUUUGUUCCUUCUCCACUCCCACUGCUUCACUUGACUAGCCUAAA
RNAcentral lists this small RNA (103 nucleotides) under Saimiri boliviensis boliviensis (Bolivian squirrel monkey). RNAcentral describes it as "Y RNA (ENSSBOG00000015240.1)". The record is from RNAcentral. Lineage: Eukaryota; Metazoa; Chordata; Mammalia; Primates; Cebidae.